This 253-nucleotide ribosomal RNA is filed under the name uncultured bacterium. RNAcentral's name for it is "partial 16S ribosomal RNA". It matches the Rfam family "Bacterial small subunit ribosomal RNA", at positions 524 to 776 of the family's 1533-position model. The record is from RNAcentral.
AACGUAGGAGACAAACGUUAUCCGGAGUUACGGGGCGUAAAGGGCGUGUAGGCGGUUUGUUAAGUCUGGCGUGAAAGCUCUCGGCUAAACCGGGAGAGGUCGUUGGAUACUGGCGAACUAGAGGAUGGUAGAGGCGUGUGGAAUUCCGGGUGUAGUGGGGAAAUGCGUAGAGAUCCGGAGGAACACCAGUGGCGAAGGCGACACGCUGGGCCAUACCUGACGCUAAAGCGCGACAGCAUGGGGAGCAAACGGG